Molecule: ribosomal RNA, 502 nt
Filed under: uncultured bacterium
Lineage: Bacteria
Description: bacterial SSU rRNA
Rfam family: Bacterial small subunit ribosomal RNA
Source: RNAcentral
CGAACGCUGGCGGAGUGCUUAAGACAUGCAAGUCGUACGAGAAAGUCGCCUUCGGGCGAUGAGUACAGUGGCGCACGGGUGAGUAUCACGUGGGUAAUCUACCCUCAGGUUCGGGACAACUCCGGGAAACUGGAGCUAAUACCGGAUAAGCCCCCAGGGUCUUCGGAUCCAGUGGGAAAAGGUGGCCUCUUCUUGAAAGCUGCCGCCUGCUGAUGAGCCCGCGUCCCAUUAGCUUGUUGGUGAGGUAACGGCUCACCAAGGCUUCGAUGGGUAGCUGGUCUGAGAGGAUGAUCAGCCACACUGGAACUGAGACACGGUCCAGACUCCUACGGGAGGCAGCAGUCGGGAAUCUUGGGCAAUGGGCGCAAGCCUGACCCAGCAACUCCGCGUGAGGGAUGAAGGCCCUCGGGUCGUAAACCUCUGUCGGGAGGGAAGAAAGCCGUGCGGUUAAUAGCUUCACGGUCUGACGGUACCUCCAAAGGAAGCGCCGGCUAACUCCGUG